RNAcentral lists this ribosomal RNA (670 nucleotides) under uncultured bacterium. RNAcentral's name for it is "bacterial SSU rRNA". It matches the Rfam family "Bacterial small subunit ribosomal RNA", at positions 97 to 800 of the family's 1533-position model. The record is from RNAcentral.
GGCGAACGGGUGAGUAACACGUUGGAACCUACCCCAGACUCAGGGAUAGCCCGCCGAAAGGUGGAUUAAUACCGGAUGGUCUCGUAAGAGUAAAGCUUUUGCGGUCUGGGAGGGGCCUGCGGCCUAUCAGCUAGUUGGUAAGGUAAUGGCUUACCAAGGCUAUGACGGGUAACUGGUGUGAGAGCAUGACCAGUCACAAUGGAACUGAGACACGGUCCAUACUCCUACGGGAGGCAGCAGUGAGGAAUCUUCCGCAAUGGGCGAAAGCCUGACGGAGCGACACCGCGUGGAGGACGAAGGCCUUUUGGUUGUAAACUCCUUUUCUGGGGGAAUAAAUGAUGAAGGUACCCCAGGAAUAAGCACCGGCUAACUACGUGCCAGCAGCCGCGGUAAUACGUAGGGUGCAGGCGUUAUCCGGAAUUAUUGGGCGUAAAGAGUUCGUAGGUGGUACACCAAGUUUGUAGUUAAAUAUGGUCGCUCAACGAUCAAAUCGCUACAAAAACUAGUGUGCUAGAGAGUGGCAGAGGUAACUGGAAUUCCACAUGUAGGGGUAAAAUCCGUUGAUAUGUGGAGGAACACCAAAAGCGAAGGCAGGUUACUGGGCCAUUUCUGACGCUGAGGAACGAAAGCGUGGGGAGCAAACAGGAUUAGAUACCCUGGUAGUCCACGC